RNAcentral lists this ribosomal RNA (254 nucleotides) under uncultured bacterium. RNAcentral describes it as "partial 16S ribosomal RNA". It matches the Rfam family "Bacterial small subunit ribosomal RNA", at positions 524 to 776 of the family's 1533-position model. The record is from RNAcentral.
UACGUAGGGUGCGAGCGUUGUCCGGAAUUAUUGGGCGUAAAGAGCUCGUAGGCGGCGUGUCGCGUCGGCCGUGAAAACCUGCAGCUUAACUGUGGGCUUGCGGUCGAUACGGGCAUCACUGGAGUUCGGCAGGGGAGACUGGAAUUCCUGGUGUAGAGGUGAAAUGCGCAGAUAUCAGGAGGAACACCGGUGGCGAAGGCGGGUCUCUGGGCCGAUACUGACGCUGAGGAGCGAAAGCGUGGGGAGCAAACAGG